Nycticebus coucang (slow loris) is the source of this 1363-nucleotide long non-coding RNA. RefSeq lists it as uncharacterized. The record is from RefSeq and is a predicted model, not a curated record. The transcript has 3 exons. Lineage: Eukaryota; Metazoa; Chordata; Mammalia; Primates; Lorisidae.
GGUCGCCCCAACCCCCUGCCUGGGCUCCCCGCCCCAGCCGCCUCGGGUAGAGGGUCCCCGGGGCUGCCGAGCGCCGCGCGGAGGAGGAGACCCCGUCGGGCCCCGCGCCUGGCGCAGCCCCCAGACCCGCGCGCCCCGGUGCCGCCAGCUCGGCGCGCAGCGGGCUGCGGCGGCGGCGCACGAGAGGUCACCGCGGUGGCAUUCCUCCCUGAGCGCUGUUUACGUGACUUAAUGUACUUCUUGCGCCGCGGCUUGUUAUCUAGGCCACCCAAUGACCGACAAAAGAUUCUCCCUCCCUUCUUCUCCCAUGACCGCUUUAAACCAAAUAAAUUGAGCUAUUAAGGGCCAAGAUGUCUGACCAAAGAUCGAAAGGUGUCUUUCGGUGAUCGCUUAAAGAAGCGAAGGAGAAGCUGGUGGCUCGCAAAUCCCGAUAAAGAAAUUCCACACCGGCGCCAACCUCCCUCCCUGCGCGCGGCCUGGCUGCGCCCUGACACCCAGAGAUCGCGACUUAAGCUACCGCAGAUCUGCUUUGGGCCUGGAGGGACAAGUGGCCGCUGCCCCGGGAAUGUGGGGGUCCCCGGGCUGCGGAGUCCGGCAGCGCCGUAUCGCGGGGACAUAGCUUCGGACACUGAGGUCGUUGAGAGCGUCCAGGGUUAAAAUUAAAUCUUGCAACAGAAGUUCUUGACCACCCAUUCAUCGUUGGGACUCACCACUCAUGAGAGAUCUCUGGACUUCUCUAUACGCCAGCAGUGAGGACUUUAUUUAUUGCAUUAUGAUAGGAAAGGAGGUGAGGGGUGAGACAAACACAGGUCCUUUACUUGCUUUUGGUUCCUUUGAAGAGGAAACAUUCCACGUUGUUCCUCUUGCAAAUGCCAGCAGCAGACUCCAAUAUCUUCUGUAGGACAAAGAUAGCAAUCUCAAGGCUUCUCCUCUGCUCAACAAAAGAAUCCUGGUCCACAGCAGCCCCUUUCCCUGGAAACUUCUUUGUGACAGUAGACAGGAGGGAAUUAAUAGGCCAUUAAAGAGGGCAACCUUGAAGACUGGCAUUACUUGGGGGGUGAUGGGGGGGACAAAGAGUAAUAAAUUGACCUGAUCAUCUAACUCUAUACUUAUGCAUAUUAUCUUUCAAUUUGACAUGUUAUACGUGCAGGAGACUUAUUCUACUUUAAGAGCACUUUUUUGGGCGGCGCCUGUGGCUCAGUCGGUAAGGCGCCGGCCCCAUAUACCGAGGGUGGCGGGUUCAAACCCGGCCCUGGCCAAACUGCAACCAAAAAAUAGCCGGGCGUUGUGGCGGGCGCCUGUAGUCCCAGCUACUCGGGAGGCUGAGGCAAGAGAAUCGCUUAAGUCCAGGAGGUGGAGGUUG